This 88-nucleotide transfer RNA is filed under the name pig gut metagenome. Its description in RNAcentral is "Selenocysteine transfer RNA". It matches the Rfam family "Selenocysteine transfer RNA". The record is from RNAcentral.
GGUAGAUAGGUUGCUGGUGUGCCUCGCGGUCUUCAAAACCGUUGUGAAGGGUUAGGAGCUCUUCGGGUGGGUUCGAUUCCCACCUCCU